UGGAUGAGGCCGGGCGGGAGGCUGUCCCUUAGCUGGUGUUAACUGGCACAUGACCAGAAUGCAUAGAAACAUGGGCAGCGGGUUUGGUCCCCUGUGCCUCAUCUGUUGCCUGGUGGCUCUGUCCUAGCAGAUGUCCCCUCCCCAGGGAGUCUCCCUGCCCCUGAGCCAGGGCUAUCCUCUCCCAAAGCCCCAAGGCUCUUUAGCUUAGGAGGGUGAGCACUUUUGUCUUUCAUUUGUUGUUUCCUCUGGUCUUUACCACCCCAUUACAAGCACCUUAGGAGCACCUUAGGAGCAGGAAUCUAGUGAUAACGGCCUCUGUUUAGGCACCUGCCAUCCUACAGACGUGACUUUAUUUAGUGUCACUAGAGGCCUGGCUCAGUUUGCUCCAGCUGCCAUGACAGGAAACCCCAGCCUCUCGGGCUUAAGCUGCAGAAAUGUAUUUGUCGCAGGUCUGGAGGCUGGAAAUCCAAGAGCAAGAGCCUUCUUUC
RNAcentral lists this long non-coding RNA (488 nucleotides) under Mustela putorius furo (domestic ferret). RNAcentral's name for it is "lncRNA (ENSMPUG00000031976.1)". The record is from RNAcentral. Lineage: Eukaryota; Metazoa; Chordata; Mammalia; Carnivora; Mustelidae.